CUACGGGUGGCACCAGUGAGGAAUAUUGCACAAUGGAGGAAACUCUGAUGCAGCAACGCCGCGUGGAGGAUGACGCAUUUCGGUGUGUAAACUCCUUUUAUAUGUCAAGAGAAUGACGGUAGCAUAUGAAUAAGCACCGGCUAACUCCGUGCCAGCAGCCGCGGUAAUACGGAGGGUGCAAGCGUUACUCGGAAUCACUGGGCGUAAAGGACGCGUAGGCGGGAUAUCAAGUCAGGUGUGAAAUCCUACAGCUUAACUGUAGAACUGCACUUGAAACUGGUAACCUAGAGUAUGGGAGGGGGAGAUGGAAUUAGUGGUGUAGGGGUAAAAUCCGUAGAUAUCACUAGGAAUACCUAAAGCGAAGGCGAUCUCCUGGAACAUAACUGACGCUAAGGCGUGAAAGCGUGGGGAGCAAACAGGAUUAGAUACCCCGGUAGUC
RNAcentral lists this ribosomal RNA (439 nucleotides) under uncultured bacterium. RNAcentral's name for it is "partial 16S ribosomal RNA". It matches the Rfam family "Bacterial small subunit ribosomal RNA", at positions 339 to 795 of the family's 1533-position model. The record is from RNAcentral.